This 497-nucleotide ribosomal RNA is filed under the name uncultured bacterium. RNAcentral's name for it is "partial 16S ribosomal RNA". It matches the Rfam family "Bacterial small subunit ribosomal RNA", at positions 28 to 507 of the family's 1533-position model. The record is from RNAcentral.
GAUGAACGCUGGCGGCGUGCCUAAUACAUGCAAGUCGAGCGAACAGACGAGGAGCUUGCUCCUCUGACGUUAGCGGCGGACGGGUGAGUAACACGUGGAUAACCUACCUAUAAGACUGGGAUAACUUCGGGAAACCGGAGCUAAUACCGGAUAAUAUAUUGAACCGCAUGGUUCAAUAGUGAAAGACGGUUUUGCUGUCACUUAUAGAUGGAUCCGCGCCGCAUUAGCUAGUUGGUAAGGUAACGGCCUACCAAGGCAACGAUGCGUAGCCGACCUGAGAGGGUGGUCGGCCACACUGGAACUGAGACACGGUCCAGACUCCUACGGGAGGCAGCAGUAGGGAAUCUGCCGCAAUGGGCGAAAACCUGACGGAGCAACGCCGCGUGAGUGAUGAAGGUCUUCGGAUCGUAAAACUCUGUUAUUAGGGAAGAACAAAUGUGUAAGUAACUAUGCACGUCUUGACGGUACCUAAUCAGAAAGCCACGGCUAACUACGUG